CCUGCAGGAUAGUGUGUAUCGGCUUAACGCUUUUUUGUGCGUCUUGUGCCGAAAGUGUUUCCUGCUAUAUUGAUCUGGGGAAAGUGGGCAGUUGGGUUAGGCUUUUGUGCUUUUUUCAACAAUCAUUUUCCUCUCAUUU
RNAcentral lists this small nucleolar RNA (139 nucleotides) under Oryza meridionalis. Its description in RNAcentral is "snoRNA snoR135". It matches the Rfam family "small nucleolar RNA snoR135". The record is from Rfam by way of RNAcentral. Lineage: Eukaryota; Viridiplantae; Streptophyta; Magnoliopsida; Poales; Poaceae.